AUACGUAGGUGACAAGCGUUAUCCGGAUUUACUGGGCGUAAAGGGCGUGUAGGCGGUCUUGCAAGUCAGAAGUGAAAUUCCUGAGCUCAACUCGGGCGCUGCUUCUGAAACUGCAGGACUUGAGUGCUGGAGGGGAUAGCGGAAUUCCUAGUGGAGCGGUAAAAUGCGCAGAUAUUAGGAAGAACACCGGUGGCGAAGGCGGCUAUCUGGACAGUAACUGACGCUGAGGCGCGAAAGCGUGGCGAUCAAACAGGAUUAGAUACCCUGGUAGUCCACGCAGUAAACGAUGAUGGCUAACCGCUGGAUCCAUCGGUUCAGUGGCCAAGCGAAAGCGAUAAGCCAUCCACCUGGGGAGUACGACCGCAAGGUUGAAACUCAAAGGAAUUGACGGGG
This 393-nucleotide ribosomal RNA is filed under the name uncultured bacterium. Its description in RNAcentral is "partial 16S ribosomal RNA". It matches the Rfam family "Bacterial small subunit ribosomal RNA", at positions 523 to 918 of the family's 1533-position model. The record is from RNAcentral.